This 75-nucleotide transfer RNA is filed under the name Rhodocyclaceae bacterium. RNAcentral's name for it is "tRNA-Met". It matches the Rfam family "tRNA". From Rfam's summary of the family: Transfer RNA (tRNA) molecules are approximately 80 nucleotides in length. Their secondary structure includes four short double-helical elements and three loops (D, anti-codon, and T loops). Lineage: Bacteria; Pseudomonadati; Pseudomonadota; Betaproteobacteria; Rhodocyclales; Rhodocyclaceae. The record is from RNAcentral.
CGCGGGGUAGCUCAGCGGUAGAGCAGCAGACCCAUAAUCUGCCCGUCGCCGGUUCGAUUCCGGCCCCCGCAUCCC